AUUGAACGCUGGCGGCAUGCCUUACACAUGCAAGUCGAACGGUAACAGGUCUUCGGAUGCUGACGAGUGGCGAACGGGUGAGUAAUACACCGGAACGUGCCUAGUAGUGGGGGAUAACUACUCGAAAGAGCGGCUAAUACCGCAUGAGAUCUACGGAUGAAAGCAGGGGAUCGCAAGACCUUGUGCUACUAGAGCGGCCGAUGGCAGAUUAGGUAGUUGGUGGGAUAAAAGCUUACCAAGCCGACGAUCUGUAGCUGGUCUGAGAGGACGAUCAGCCACACUGGGACUGAGACUCGGCCCAGACUCCUACGGGAGGCAGCAGUGGGGAAUUUUGGACAAUGGGCGAAAGCCUGAUCCAGCAAUGCCGCGUGCAGGAUGAAGGCCUUCGGGUUGUAAACUGCUUUUGUACGGAACGAAAAGCCCCGGGUUAAUACCCUGGGGUCAUGACGGUACCGUAAGAAUAAGCACCGGCUAACUACGUGCCAGCCGCCGCGGUAA
Molecule: ribosomal RNA, 498 nt
Filed under: uncultured bacterium
Lineage: Bacteria
Description: partial 16S ribosomal RNA
Rfam family: Bacterial small subunit ribosomal RNA
Source: RNAcentral